This 440-nucleotide ribosomal RNA is filed under the name uncultured bacterium. RNAcentral's name for it is "partial 16S ribosomal RNA". It matches the Rfam family "Bacterial small subunit ribosomal RNA", at positions 338 to 795 of the family's 1533-position model. The record is from RNAcentral.
CCUACGGGUGGCAGCAGUGGGGAAUAUUGCACAAUGGGGGCAACCCUGAUGCAGCGACGCCGCGUGAGUGAAGAAGUAAUUCGUUAUGUAAAGCUCUAUCAGCAGGGAAGAAAAUGACGGUCCCUGAGUCAGAUGCCUCGGCUAACUACGUGCCAGCAGCCGCGGUAAUACGUAGGGGGCAAGCGUUAUCCGGAUUUACUGGGUGUAAAGGGAGCGUAGACGGAAUUGCAAGUCUGGAGUGAAAGGCGGGGGCUUAACUCGCGAACUGCUCUUGAAACUGUACGGCUUGAGAGGAGGAGAGGUAAGCGGAAUUCCUAGUGUAGCGGUGAAAUGCUUAGAUAUUAGGAGGAACACCAGUGGCGAAGGCGGCUUACUGGUCUAUAACUGACGUUGAGGCACGAAAGCGUGGGGAGCAAACAGGAUUAGAUACCCGGGUAGUC